RNAcentral lists this unclassified non-coding RNA (329 nucleotides) under soil metagenome. RNAcentral describes it as "partial contains 5.8S ribosomal RNA, internal transcribed spacer 2, and large subunit ribosomal RNA". The stretch from base 1 to 120 matches the Rfam family "5.8S ribosomal RNA", at positions 35 to 154 of the family's 154-position model. The record is from RNAcentral.
GAUGAAGAACGUAGCGAAAUGCGAUAAGUAAUGUGAAUUGCAGAAUUCAGUGAAUCAUCGAAUCUUUGAACGCACAUUGCGCCCCUUGGUAUUCCGAGGGGCAUGCCUAUUCGAGCGUCAUUAUCACCCCUCAAGCUCCGGCUUGGUGUUGAGGCCUGCUGUAAAGGCACCCUCUAAAAUCAGUGGCAGUGCUGUCAGGCUCUAAGCGUAGUAAUUCUCUCGCUACAGGGUCCCGGUGGACACUCGCCAGAACCCCCCCAUUUUUUAAUGAUUGACCUCGGAUUAGGUAGGGAUACCCGCUGAACUUAAGCAUAUCAAUAAGCGGAGGA